Molecule: ribosomal RNA, 460 nt
Filed under: uncultured bacterium
Lineage: Bacteria
Description: partial 16S ribosomal RNA
Rfam family: Bacterial small subunit ribosomal RNA
Source: RNAcentral
CCUACGGGUGGCAGCAGUGAGGAAUAUUGCUCAAUGGGCGCGAGCCUGAACCAGCCACGUCGCGUGAAGGAUGACUGCCCUACGGGUUGUAAACUCCUUUUAUAAAGGAAUAAAGUGAGGCACGUGUGCCUUUUUGUAUGUACUUUAUGAAUAAGGAUAGGCUAACUCCGUACCAGCAGCCGCGGUAAUACGGAGGAUCCGAGAGUUAUCCGGAUUUAUUGGGUUUAAAGGGAGCGUAGAUGGGUUGUUAAGUCAGUUGUGAAAGUUUGCGGCUCAACCGUACAAUUGCAAUUGAUACUGGCAGUCUUGAGUACAGUUGAGGUAGGCGGAAUUCGUGGUGUAGCGGUGAAAUGCUUAGAUAUCACGAAGAACUCCGAUGGCGAAGGCAGCUUACUGGACUGCCACUGACAUUGAGGCGCGAAAGUGUGGGUAUCAAACAGGAUUAGAUACCCGAGUAGUC